Molecule: long non-coding RNA, 295 nt
Organism: Haliotis rubra (blacklip abalone)
Lineage: Eukaryota; Metazoa; Mollusca; Gastropoda; Lepetellida; Haliotidae
Exons: 4
Source: RefSeq, a predicted model, not a curated record
CAGUCAGCCACCCAGUGCCAUCCAACCUUGACUUUGAACCAGUGAGAACUCUUCAGCACUAACCUGGGAUACCCAGGCCUGUGUCAAAGUGGAAUCACAUGUUAUAUGGAAUGGAGUGACAGCACACCCGAGCCCAUGUCUCAGCGUCAAGAGUGAUUUUGCUGGACUUUUAAAGUUAACACUAUGCACAGCACUGUGAGCUCUGCCAUGGAAGUUCCGAGUAAAGGUUGUAUCACAAGCUUUCUGCAUGCCUGAACUGGAUGGGGUGGAAUAUCUGCACUCAUGCAGAGGACAC